Molecule: ribosomal RNA, 439 nt
Filed under: uncultured bacterium
Lineage: Bacteria
Description: partial 16S ribosomal RNA
Rfam family: Bacterial small subunit ribosomal RNA
Source: RNAcentral
CUACGGGUCGCAGCAGUGGGGAAUAUUGCACAAUGGGGGAAACCCUGAUGCAGCAACGCCGCGUGGAGGAUGACGCAUUUCGGUGUGUAAACUCCUUUUAUAUAGGAAGAUAAUGACGGUACUCUAUGAAUAAGCACCGGCUAACUCCGUGCCAGCAGCCGCGGUAAUACGGAGGGUGCAAGCGUUACUCGGAAUCACUGGGCGUAAAGCGCGCGCAGACGGCCGUUUAAGUUGGAUGUGAAAGCCUAGGGCUUAACCAUAGAACUGCAUCCAAAACUAUCAGGCUAGAGUCUGGGAGGGGAAGAUGGAAUUAGUGGUGUAGAGGUAAAAUCCGUAGAUAUCACUAGGAAUACCUAAAGCGAAGGCGAUCUCCUGGAACAUUACUGACGCUAAGGCGUGAAAGCGUGGGGAGCAAACAGGAUUAGAUACCCCCGUAGUC